CCUACGGGUGGCAGCAGUGGGGAAUAUUGCACAAUGGGGGAAACCCUGAUGCAGCGACGCCGCGUGAGUGAAGAAGGAUUUAGGUAUGUAAAGCUCUAUCAGCAGGGGAGAAAAAAGACGGUACCUGACUAAGAAGCCCCGGCUAACUACGUGCCAGCAGCCUCGGUAAUACGUAGGGGGCAAGCGUUAUCCGGAUUUACUGGGUGUAAAGGGAGCGUAGAGGGUUGUUGAAGUCAGAAGUGAAAGCCCAGGGCUCAACCCUGAGACUGCUUUGGAAACUGUGGGGCUAGAGUGCUGGAGAGGUAAGUGGAAUUCCUAGUGUAGCGGUGAAAUGCGUAGAUAUUAGGAGGAACACCAGUGGCGAAGGCGGCUUACUGAACAGUAACUGACGUUGAGGCUCGAAAGCGUGGGGAGCAAACAGGAUUAGAUACCCCUGUAGUC
RNAcentral lists this ribosomal RNA (441 nucleotides) under uncultured bacterium. RNAcentral's name for it is "partial 16S ribosomal RNA". It matches the Rfam family "Bacterial small subunit ribosomal RNA", at positions 338 to 795 of the family's 1533-position model. The record is from RNAcentral.